GGUGAACGCUGGCGGCAGGCCUAACACAUGCAAGUCGAACGGAAGGAUAGUAAGAGCUUGCUCUUAAGGGUGGCGAGGGACGGACGGGUGAGGAAUACAUAGGAAACUAAUAUUACGUGGGGGAUAACGGAGGAAAAGUUAUGAUGAUAGAGAAUACGAAGAACGGGAGGAAGCAGGGGAGCAUGAGACCUUGGGUGAUAGAAAGAGACGAUGUCGGAUUGGCUAGUUGGGGGGGUAACGGAACACCAAGGCGACGAUCCGUAGCUGGUCUGAGAGGAUGAUCAGCCACACUGGAACUGAGACACGGUCCAGACUCCUACGGGAGGCAGCAGUGGGGAAUCUUGGACAAUGGGCGCAAGCCUGAUCCAGCCAUACCGCGUGAGUGAUGAAGGUCUUCGGGUUGUAAAGCCCUUUUGUUGGGAAAGAACAGCAGCGUGUUAAUACCCCGCUGUUCUGACGGUACCCAAAGAAUAAGCCCCGGCUAACUUCGUG
This 492-nucleotide ribosomal RNA is filed under the name uncultured bacterium. RNAcentral's name for it is "partial 16S ribosomal RNA". It matches the Rfam family "Bacterial small subunit ribosomal RNA", at positions 28 to 507 of the family's 1533-position model. The record is from RNAcentral.